Long non-coding RNA from Poecile atricapillus (Black-capped chickadee), 536 nucleotides. RefSeq lists it as uncharacterized. The record is from RefSeq and is a predicted model, not a curated record. The transcript is spliced from 5 exons. NCBI's taxonomy places the organism in Eukaryota, Metazoa, Chordata, Aves, Passeriformes, Paridae.
GUGAGGCCGAGGGGCGGCGGCGCCUGCGCAGCGCUGCGGGCGGCGGAAGGCGCCGAGCCCCGGCCAUGGCGCGGCGCGCCCUGAGGGGGCUGCUGCUGCUGGAGGCGGCGGGGCUGCUCGGCGCCCUCUUACUCUACCGCGCCAUGGACCGCAGCCAAGAUUUCAGAUACACAAUGCAGAAGAGGUUUCCAUCAAUUCUGGAAGUUUAUUACAAAUCCAAUGAGUGGUCUGGAAUUCAUGGCAUAAGGGAGAAUGACCAGAUGACAUGGUUAAGCAGCAAGAACUGAACCCUCUGUGCCUGAACUGUUUCUUCUUUUUGAUGAUGCUUUUCACAUCCCUGUUGUGAAGCCACUUGUCACGCUCUAUUUCCCACUGGAUCUGUUUGACAUCUGUAGGAGGCAAGAUGCCAGUAUACCAGCAUCUUGGAGUUUUCUCUUCUUUCCUCGUCUUGGUCCUUCAAACAAAAGGUAUUAUUCUUAUGAGACACAACUUCAAGUUCCCAAAGACACUAAAAUAAAGUUCUACCACAUUUCAAA